AUUGAACGCUGGCGGCAUGCUUUACACAUGCAAGUCGAACGGCAGCGCGGGCUUCGGCCUGGCGGCGAGUGGCGAACGGGCGAGUAAUGCAUCGGAACGUGCCCAGCAGUGGGGGAUAGCCCGGCGAAAGACGGAUUAAUACCGCAUACGACCAGAGGGUGAAAGCGGGGGACCGAAAGGUCUUGCGACCUUGCAGCGGCCGAUGGCGGAUUAGCUAGUUGGUGGGGUAAAGGCUUAACAAGGCGCCGAUCCGUAGCUGGUCUGCGAGGACGACCAGCCACACUGGGACUGAGACACGGCCCAGACUCCUACGGGAGGCAGCAGUUGGGAAUUUUGGACAAUGGGGGCAACCCUGAUCCAGCCAUGCCGCGUGCGGGAAGAAGGCCUUCGGGUUGUAAACCGCUUUUGUUCGGGAAGAAAACCUCUGGGCUAAUACCCCGGGGGGAUGACGGUACCGGAAGAAUAAGCACCGGCUAACUACGUG
This 484-nucleotide ribosomal RNA is filed under the name uncultured bacterium. Its description in RNAcentral is "partial 16S ribosomal RNA". It matches the Rfam family "Bacterial small subunit ribosomal RNA", at positions 29 to 507 of the family's 1533-position model. The record is from RNAcentral.